AUGUGGGGGGACUCGAAGCCGAUGCUCAAGUCCCGCGGCGGGGCCGGGGGCGGCGGCGGCGGCGACGAGGAGGGCGACUACUUCCCCAACACGCCGCGCAAGGACUGGUCCACGGGCCUGCUCAAGCUCGUCACCGCCAUGGUCAUCUUCAUGGCCGGCGUCGUCAUCGGCCUCUCCGUCAGCGCCAACGUCUCCCGCUACUACUACAACUCCCACACCGAGCUCUUCUUCCCCACCGCCACCUACAGCUCCUGCGACCGCCGGGGCGCCACGGGGGACUGCGGCCCCGGCUUCAGGGCCUUCGUGCACCCGCCCACCCUCGCGCACUCCAUGACCGACGACGAGCUCUUCUGGCGCGCCACCCUCGUGCCCACCGCCGAGGAGUUCCCCUUCCAGCGCGUCCCCAAGGUCGCCUUCCUCUUCAUGACCCGCGGCCCGCUCCCCUUCGCCCCGCUCUGGGAGCGCUUCUUCCGCGGUCACCAGGGGCUCUUCUCCGUCUACCUCCACACCAUCCCGGACUACAAGCUCAACGUCUCCAAGACAUCCCCAUUCUACGGCCGCCAGAUCCCCAGCGAGGAAGUGUCUUGGGGAUCAAUAACCCUGGUUGAUGCUGAGAAGCGCCUGCUGGCCAAUGCAUUGUUGGAUUUCUCAAACGAGCGUUUUGUUCUGCUCUCGGAGAGCUGCAUUCCGGUGUUCAACUUCCCAACUGUCUACGAGUAUCUCAUAAACUCGGAGCACAGCUUUGUCGAGUCCUACAACAUCGACACCCCUCAAAGCGCUGGCCGCUACAACCGUCGAAUGGCCCCUCACAUCUUGCCGGAGCAAUGGAGGAAAGGGUCAGAGUGGUUUGAGCUUAACCGUGAGCUGGCCGUGCGUGUCGUAGCGGACUACAAGUACUACUCGAUCUUCCGGAAGCAUUGCAGACCAUCUUGCUACCCGGACGAGCAUUACAUACCGACCUAUCUUCAUCUGUUCCACGGGUCGCUCAACGCCAACAGGACCAUCACAUGGGUCGAUUGGUCAAGAGGAGGCCCGCAUCCAGCGAGAUAUGGUGCUGGAAACAUCAACGUGGACUUCAUCAAGGCCAUCAGGAACAAUGGUACGCAGUGCCUCUACAACUCGAAGCACACUUCGGUGUGCUACCUCUUUGCUAGGAAGUUUGCUCCCAGUGCUUUGGGACCAUUGAUGAACCUCACUUCGACGGUGUUGGACUUUUGA
Molecule: ribosomal RNA, 1218 nt
Filed under: Triticum aestivum (bread wheat)
Lineage: Eukaryota; Viridiplantae; Streptophyta; Magnoliopsida; Poales; Poaceae
Description: partial small subunit ribosomal RNA
Source: RNAcentral